RNAcentral lists this long non-coding RNA (229 nucleotides) under Carica papaya (papaya). Its description in RNAcentral is "long non-coding RNA (CPAP_LNC003525)". Lineage: Eukaryota; Viridiplantae; Streptophyta; Magnoliopsida; Brassicales; Caricaceae. The record is from RNAcentral.
GUCAACUAUAUCCUUCUUCAUUCCUGGCCACCAAUAUUGUCAUUUCAUGUCUCGGUACAUCUUGGUACUUCCAGGAUGAAUGGAUAACUUGGAAGAAUGAGCAGUCUUGAGUACAUUAGUGCGUACUACAUCGAGGACCCAAAUUUGGUUCAAGAAUAUGAACAAUCCAUCAUCAGAGAUCCUAAAAUAUGGAGAUUUGUUCGAAGUGAACUUACCCAGGUUCUUGAUG